This 440-nucleotide ribosomal RNA is filed under the name uncultured bacterium. Its description in RNAcentral is "partial 16S ribosomal RNA". It matches the Rfam family "Bacterial small subunit ribosomal RNA", at positions 338 to 795 of the family's 1533-position model. The record is from RNAcentral.
CCUACGGGCGGCAGCAGUGGGGGAUAUUGCACAAUGGGGGAAACCCUGAUGCCGCGCCGCCGCGUGGGUGAAGAAGCGCCUCGGCGCGUAAAGCCCUGUCAGCAGGGAAGAAAAUGACGGUACCUGAAGAAGAAGCCCCGGCUAACUACGUGCCAGCAGCCGCGGUAAUACGUAGGGGGCAAGCGUUAUCCGGAUUUACUGGGUGUAAAGGGGGCGCAGACGGCGAUGCAAGCAAGGAGUGAAAGCCCGGGGCCCAACCCCGGGACUGCACUUGGAACUGCGUGGCUAGAGUGCAGGAGGGGCAGGCGGAAUUCCUGGUGUAGCGGUGAAAUGCGUAGAUAUCAGGAGGAACACCGGUGGCGAAGGCGGCCUGCUGGACUGCAACUGACGUUGAGGCCCGAAAGCGUGGGGAGCAAACAGGAUUAGAUACCCCAGUAGUC